RNAcentral lists this ribosomal RNA (390 nucleotides) under Triticum aestivum (bread wheat). RNAcentral describes it as "partial small subunit ribosomal RNA". The record is from RNAcentral. Lineage: Eukaryota; Viridiplantae; Streptophyta; Magnoliopsida; Poales; Poaceae.
AUGUGCGCUGAUAUUGGAAAAGGCAAGAGCAAUACCUUGGAAUGGAGCGGCGCGGGGUCCCUGGGAGACCCCGGCGACCCCUCGUCGUCCUCGUCGUUCGCCGCGACGGCGGCGGCGUCGUCGUCCUGGAACAGGUCCGGCUCGGCGUUGAGGCCCCGGAGGAGGAAGAAGCCGGCGAUGGUGGCGGAGAGGAAGAUGAGUAUCACCCUCAGCGGGCACAUCUUUGCCCCGAACAAUCAACCGAGGAUCGCACGGGAAUCAAAUCAAGCAAGGCUCCCCCUUUCGCCCCUCUCGUCGGCGUGGCGAGAAUGGGAGGGGAUUAGGGACGGCAGGAGGAGGAGGACGAGGAGGAAGAGUAGGUUGGUGGGCGGAUGGAUGGAUGGAUGUUGA